CUAGUGAUCAUCUCACAAGAGCUAAGCCUCAGAAAUCACAAGAGCUGCAUGCAGAACUACCGCGGUUCUCCCCUUCAAUGGGAUUUUGAUCUUCGUCUACAAGCAGUGGGGAGUCACAGAAGGGCUCGAGGGAGGAAGAGACGACAUAAGUAGAUUUCAUCACAAAAGGAAGGUGGUCCCUUCUCCAUUCACCCAAAGGGAAUCUCUAAUCCUUCAGUCCGUUAGGAUUCUCCUAAGCUGCUCCAAGCCAGUCUCUUCUCUGACCCCAAAGAGGAAAGAUGUAGUCCUUCUGCUCCCAGAGACCGUCAGAAAAGAGGUCCAGCAAAUCCCUCUCCGAUCUCUGAGCCAACCACCCUCACUGGCAUCCCAAUCUCAAUCUCAGUCUCAAUGUGCCAGGCACAAAGAUUUGUCUCAGUAAGAGUAGAGUGGUUAUGGACAAGACCACACAGCCUUAUUUCUGCUGGACUUCUUCCCUACCUGCCCAUGAGAAAUGGCUCCCGGGCUCAGCUUCUCACACCGGCCCCCUCCUGUUCCAAAGCCUGGACUCACACCACACAGUCUCAUCUCACAUAGGACUGAUGACAAAC
Molecule: long non-coding RNA, 587 nt
Filed under: Equus caballus (horse)
Lineage: Eukaryota; Metazoa; Chordata; Mammalia; Perissodactyla; Equidae
Description: lncRNA (ENSECAG00000048735.1)
Source: RNAcentral